UUUUCGCUUUGUAAACCCUUCUAAAUUCUCCAUGAUGUCUCUCACACUCAAUAGAUUUGAAUAAAAAUAUUAUCUCAUCGCUAUAGUCUCUGUGUAAUACAUGUACAAAUCAGAGGAAAAUAAAGAAGUUAAAAGACAAACACAUUGAAUUCUGACCCGAAAUUCUUUUUAUGGGAAAAUCGCUUCCCAAUAAUAAAACCAGACUAUACCAACUCACAAAGACAGCAUCACAACUCCUGAACAAAACUCAAACAAAACCCACUCCCUCCACACCCCAAACUCGACGAGUACUGGGAGCGGAAAUCCGGCACAACAACAUCAACAGCAAGUGCAAGAACAUGGAGAGCACCAGCGAGCCGAAUAUCAACAACGGUAACGAGAACACGCGCGUGCCGUUAUCGGAAGUUGUCUCGGAUUGUGUGAAGCGUUGGUUUAAAGACACGCUUAAAGAAGCCAAAGCUGGUGACAUCAACAUGCAGGUGUUGGUGGGGCAGAUGUAUUAUAGCGGUUAUGGUGUUGCAAGAGACACCCAGAAGGGAAGAGUGUGGAUGACAAGAGCAUCGAGGACUCGAGCCUCAGUUUGGAGAGUUAGUGAUAAGCAUCCAGGUUAUAACGCGAGUGAUUCGGAUUCAGAUGAGUUGAAAGGAGAAUCUUAAAUACUGAAUUAGGCUUCAUGUCCAAAACAAUUGAUAACUCAAUUAAUGGGAUCUUUUUGAACUGUUUCAACUUCUUAUAUAGCCUAAGGGUGGAUUUGUGCUCUGCCGACUACCGGUUCUUCAACAUCUUAAAUGUGCCUGUAACAUUCUUUUUCUUUCCUGACGCUUUUUUUAGUUUGUUUGUUUUUACCAUAUGUAACUUUGUAAACAAUCUCAUCAUUAUCAUAAAAUAAUGUUAAUUGUACUUUUACAGGCAACAACAUUUUGUGGUUUAAA
Molecule: RNA transcript, 932 nt
Organism: Pistacia vera
Lineage: Eukaryota; Viridiplantae; Streptophyta; Magnoliopsida; Sapindales; Anacardiaceae
Exons: 5
Source: RefSeq, a predicted model, not a curated record